GAUCCUGGGUCAGGAUGAACGCUGGCGGCGUGCCUAACACAUGCAAGUCGAGCGAUUCUCUUCGGAGAAGAGCGGCGGACGGGUGAGUAACGCGUGGGUAACCUGCCCUGUACACACGGAUAACAUACCGAAAGGUAUGCUAAUACGGGAUAAUAUAUUUUGAUGGCAUCAUCGAGAUAUCAAAGCUCCGGCGGUACAGGAUGGACCCGCGUCUGAUUAGCUAGUUGGUGAGGUAAUGGCUCACCAAGGCAACGAUCAGUAGCCGACCUGAGAGGGUGAUCGGCCACAUUGGAACUGAGACACGGUCCAAACUCCUACGGGAGGCAGCAGUGGGGAAUAUUGCACAAUGGGCGAAAGCCUGAUGCAGCAACGCCGCGUGAGCGAUGAAGGCCUUCGGGUCGUAAAGCUCUGUCCUCAAGGAAGAUAAUGACGGUACUUGAGGAGGAAGCCCCGGCUAACUACGUGCCAGCAGCCGCGGUAAUACGUAGGGGGCUAGCGUUAUCCCGGAAUUACUGGGCGUAAAGGGUGCGUAGGUGGUUUUUUAAGUCAGAAGUGAAAGGCUACGGCUCAACCGUAGUAAGCUUUUGAAACUGAGAAACUUGAGUGCAGGAGAGGAGAGUAGAAUUCCUAGUGUAGCGGUGAAAUGCGUAGAUAUUAGGAGGAAUACCAGUUGCGAAGGCGGUUCUCUGGACUGUAACUGACACUGAGGCACGAAAGCGUGGGGAGCAAACAGGAUUAGAUACCCUGGUAGUCCACGCCGUAAACGAUGAGUACUAGGUGUCGGGGGUUACCCCCCUCGGUGCCGCAGCUAACGCAUUAA
RNAcentral lists this ribosomal RNA (820 nucleotides) under uncultured bacterium. Its description in RNAcentral is "bacterial SSU rRNA". It matches the Rfam family "Bacterial small subunit ribosomal RNA", at positions 15 to 863 of the family's 1533-position model. The record is from RNAcentral.